UUGAAGAGUUUGAUCAUGGCUCAGAUUGAACGCUGGCGGCAGGCCUAACACAUGCAAGUCGAGCGGUAGCACAGAGAGCUUGCUCUCGGGUGACGAGCGGCGGACGGGUGAGUAAUGUCUGGGAAACUGCCUGAUGGAGGGGGAUAACUACUGGAAACGGUAGCUAAUACCGCAUAACGUCGCAAGACCAAAGUGGGGGACCUUCGGGCCUCAUGCCAUCAGAUGUGCCCAGAUGGGAUUAGCUAGUAGGUGGGGUAACGGCUCACCUAGGCGACGAUCCCUAGCUGGUCUGAGAGGAUGACCAGCCACACUGGAACUGAGACACGGUCCAGACUCCUACGGGAGGCAGCAGUGGGGAAUAUUGCACAAUGGGCGCAAGCCUGAUGCAGCCAUGCCGCGUGUGUGAAGAAGGCCUUCGGGUUGUAAAGCACUUUCAGCGGGGAGGAAGGCGAUAAGGUUAAUAACCUUGUCGAUUGACGUUACCCGCAGAAGAAGCACCGGCUAACUCCGUGCCAGCAGCCGCGGUAAUACGGAGGGUGCAAGCGUUAAUCGGAAUUACUGGGCGUAAAGCGCACGCAGGCGGUCUGUCAAGUCGGAUGUGAAAUCCCCGGGCUCAACCUGGGAACUGCAUUCGAAACUGGCAGGCUAGAGUCUUGUAGAGGGGGGUAGAAUUCCAGGUGUAGCGGUGAAAUGCGUAGAGAUCUGGAGGAAUACCGGUGGCGAAGGCAGCCCCCUGGACAAAGACUGACGCUCAGGUGCGAAAGCGUGGGGAGCAAACAGGAUUAGAUACCCUGGUAGUCCACGCCGUAAACGAUGUCGAUUUGGAGGUUGUGCCCUUGAGGCGUGGCUUCCGGAGCUAACGCGUUAAAUCGACCGCCUGGGGAGUACGGCCGCAAGGUUAAAACUCAAAUGAAUUGACGGGGGCCCGCACAAGCGGUGGAGCAUGUGGUUUAAUUCGAUGCAACGCGAAGAACCUUACCUGGUCUUGACAUCCACAGAACUUUCCAGAGAUGGAUUGGUGCCUUCGGGAACUGUGAGACAGGUGCUGCAUGGCUGUCGUCAGCUCGUGUUGUGAAAUGUUGGGUUAAGUCCCGCAACGAGCGCAACCCUUAUCCUUUGUUGCCAGCGGUCCGGCCGGGAACUCAAAGGAGACUGCCAGUGAUAAACUGGAGGAAGGUGGGGAUGACGUCAAGUCAUCAUGGCCCUUACGACCAGGGCUACGUGCUACAAUGGCAUAUACAAAGAGAAGCGACCUCGCGAGAGCAAGCGGACCUCAUAAAGUAUGUCGUAGUCCGGAUUGAGUCUGCAACUCGACUCCAUGAAGUCGGAAUCGCUAGUAAUCGUAGAUCAGAAUGCUACGGUGAAUACGUUCCCGGGCCUUGUACACACCGCCCGUCACACCAUGGGAGUGGGUUGCAAAAGUAGGUAGCUUAACCUUCGGGAGGGCGCUUACCACUUUGUGAUUCAUGACUGGGGUGAAGUCGUAACAAGGUAACCGUAGGGGAACCUGCGGUUGGAUCACCUCCUU
Molecule: ribosomal RNA, 1528 nt
Filed under: Klebsiella pneumoniae
Lineage: Bacteria; Pseudomonadati; Pseudomonadota; Gammaproteobacteria; Enterobacterales; Enterobacteriaceae
Description: bacterial SSU rRNA
Rfam family: Bacterial small subunit ribosomal RNA
Source: RNAcentral